AACGAACGCUGGCGGCAGGCCUAACACAUGCAAGUCGAACGCCCUAGCAAUAGGGAGUGGCGCACGGGUGCGUAACGCGUGGGAAUAUGCCCUUGACUGCGGAACAACGUCGGGAAACUGACGCUAAUACCGCAUAAUGUCUUCGGACAAAAGAUUUAUCGGUAAAGGAUUAGCCCGCGUCUGAUUAGCUAGUUGGUGGGGUAACGGCGCACCAAGGUGACGAUCAGUAGGGGGGCUGAGAGGAUGAACCCCCACACUGGUACUGAGACACGGCCCAGCCGCCUACGGGAGGGAGCAAUGAGGAAUAUUGGACAAUGGGCGCAAGCCUGAUCCAGCCAUGCCGCGUGAGUGACGAAGGCCUUCGGGUUGUAAAGCUCUUUCAGAUGCGAAGAUAAUGACGGUAACAUCAGAAGAAGCCCCGGCUAAAUUCGUGCCAGCCGCCGCGGUAA
This 449-nucleotide ribosomal RNA is filed under the name uncultured bacterium. RNAcentral's name for it is "partial 16S ribosomal RNA". It matches the Rfam family "Bacterial small subunit ribosomal RNA", at positions 29 to 523 of the family's 1533-position model. The record is from RNAcentral.